GUAAACCCCGCCCACAGCGCGGGAGCAAGUGAUGCGCGGGCAAGCCCCAGCUGUCGGCGCUCCCGGCUUGCUCCGGAGUGGAUCCGGAUGCGAAGCCUCCGUGGAAACGCGCCUCGGGGCGGCAGGGCCCUGCGGGGAACGCGGCUCUCUCCGCUCUCCCGGCUGCGCUGGCCAGGCGGCUAAGUAUGGGGAGCUCCCGGGGCUUAGGCAUGGAUGUCAUUAGCCGCCGACUCGUAAGAAUGAAGUGCUAUCACAGAAGAGCUGCAAUAAGAUCCACAUGUUCCAGGAUCAUAAUCUAGCCAGGCUGCUUCCUUGCCUUCAGAAGGGAUUCAGUUCCAGCCAGCUGAGAGCAAAUGAAAAUUACCACGCGGUCAUUAUUCAGUGACAGUUGUGGAUUAGGACGCAGAUCUCAUACAAAGAACUUCGGAAUAUAUUAUGACUCCAAAGGCCCCUGUAAUGGCAAGGAAUUGAUUAGUUGUGAUAUGUUUGUAUCUCAUUCUCUACCAGUCACACCCAAUACUGAAGUCCCCUCAGCACUAAAAUGCUUUAACUAUUUUGGGCUCGACAUAGGGAUAUGGUGAUGAAAUGGUCUGUCAUCUAGAGAAAGUUGAGUAUAUAGUCUAAUGGUCCUCUGUGUGCCUAAGCUCUGUGAAGAUUUUGUUUCAGAAGGGCAGACGUAUUAUCAACCUGAUUGAAAGCCCACUGAAGUCAACGUGAAGAUUCCUGUCACCUCUGGAAUUUGGACUGGACUCCGAAGUCCGCAGAUAAAAGAGCACUGGUGGUGUCACUGGAGCAGAGCUGAAUGAAUCACAUUGUUGGCAGACUUGAUAGUGGCAAGUGAUCAGAAUUUCCAUUAAUUUUAUCUCUGAGACUAAUUUAUCUGUAGUUUUAAGUAAUUUAUGUGUUCCACUAAUUUAUUGUCUGGCUAGUCAGUUUGCUGCAGGUGUAAUUGUCUCCAUUCAAAAAGAAAGGACGGUAGCAAUUCCCACUUACACCUUCAAAAUACAACUGGAGCUGGAUUGUGGUUGUCCCCAUGGAAGGGGGACAUUUGCCCAGUUAGAGCUGGGUUGGUUUGCUGGAUAGAACUGACCUUUGGACAGCCAGGAGGAAGAACGGACCCAUAUUUCUAACAGAUGACUAACCAUUGGAGCAAACUGCCAGGGCUUCUCUUGACAUUCUCCACUACAGACUGGAUUCCUUUCUGGAAAGCUCCAGCCAAACACAAGUUCUCUGCAGUGGUGAGCUUUUGAAAUGUAAUGGUCUGUGAUAUACAGGAGGUCAGCCUAGAUGAUCUAAUGGCUUUCUCUGGCCUUAAACUCUGUGAAUCCAUAAAGCACGUCUUGCUGUAGCAGCUCGGUUCUAUUUUAUAAAUGUUAAUGAGUAAUUACAUUAGAUUGUCCACAAUCAUUGACGUUAAUCACUGUCCUUUUGCCAGGAAUAAUAAAAACAGGAAUUGAAUAGUUUAAACCAUAUGAGAGCAUCUCUCCAAACGACUUGCUCUGGGGCUCCUAUGGGAGCUGGGGGUUGGAAGGCUGUCAAGUGGAGGUAGUGCCAGAUGCUGGGCCUUCACAUGGGAACACUAGACUGCUUUUUGUGGUGUGAUUUGUGAGGGUGAGAGCC
Molecule: long non-coding RNA, 1620 nt
Organism: Alligator mississippiensis (American alligator)
Lineage: Eukaryota; Metazoa; Chordata; Crocodylia; Alligatoridae
Exons: 5
Source: RefSeq, a predicted model, not a curated record